RNAcentral lists this transfer RNA (76 nucleotides) under Propionibacterium sp. oral taxon 192 str. F0372. Its description in RNAcentral is "tRNA-Thr". It matches the Rfam family "tRNA". Rfam says of the family: Transfer RNA (tRNA) molecules are approximately 80 nucleotides in length. Their secondary structure includes four short double-helical elements and three loops (D, anti-codon, and T loops). Further hydrogen bonds mediate the characteristic L-shaped molecular structure. tRNAs have two regions of fundamental functional importance: the anti-codon, which is responsible for specific mRNA codon recognition, and the 3' end, to which the tRNAs corresponding amino acid is attached (by aminoacyl-tRNA synthetases). tRNAs cope with the degeneracy of the genetic code in two manners: having more than one tRNA (with a specific anti-codon) for a particular amino acid; and 'wobble' base-pairing, i.e. permitting non-standard base-pairing at the 3rd anti-codon position. Lineage: Bacteria; Bacillati; Actinomycetota; Actinomycetes; Propionibacteriales; Propionibacteriaceae. The record is from RNAcentral.
GCCACUUUAGCUCAGUCGGUAGAGCGACGCUCUCGUAAAGCGUAGGUCACCAGUUCGAUCCUGGUAAGUGGCUCCG